GACGAACGCUGGCGGCGUGCUUAACACAUGCAAGUCGAACGGAAAGGCCCUGCUUGCAGGGUACUCGAGUGGCAAACGGGUGAGUAACACGUGGGUGAUCUGCCCUGCACUUCGGGAUAAGCCUGGGAAGCUGGGUCUAAUACUGGAUAGGAGCCUAUUUUUAGUGUGAUGGUUGGUAAAGUUUUUUCGGUGUAGGAUGAGCUCGCGGCCUAUCAGCUUGUUGGUGGGGUAAUGGCCUACCAAGGCGGCGACGGGUGCCGGCCUGAGAGGGUGGACGGCCACAUUGGGACUGAGAUACGGCCCAG
Molecule: ribosomal RNA, 305 nt
Filed under: uncultured bacterium
Lineage: Bacteria
Description: bacterial SSU rRNA
Rfam family: Bacterial small subunit ribosomal RNA
Source: RNAcentral